RNAcentral lists this ribosomal RNA (1372 nucleotides) under uncultured bacterium. Its description in RNAcentral is "bacterial SSU rRNA". It matches the Rfam family "Bacterial small subunit ribosomal RNA", at positions 28 to 1381 of the family's 1533-position model. The record is from RNAcentral.
GAUGAACGCUGGUGGCGUGCCUAAUACAUGCAAGUCGAGCGAACGGACGAGAAGCUUGCUUCUCUGAUGUUAGCGGCGGACGGGUGAGUAACACGUGGAUAACCUACCUAUAAGACUGGGAUAACUUCGGGAAACCGGAGCUAAUACCGGAUAAUAUUUUGAACCGCAUGGUUCAAAAGUGAAAGACGAUCUUGCUGUCACUUAUAGAUGGAUCCGCGCUGCAUUAGCUAGUUGGUAAGGUAACGGCUUACCAAGGCAACGAUGCAUAGCCGACCUGAGAGGGUGAUCGGCCACACUGGAACUGAGACACGGUCCAGACUCCUACGGGAGGCAGCAGUAGGGAAUCUUCCGCAAUGGGCGAAAGCCUGACGGAGCAACGCCGCGUGAGUGAUGAAGGUCUUCGGAUCGUAAAACUCUGUUAUUAGGGAAGAACAUAUGUGUAAGUAACUGUGCACAUCUUGACGGUACCUAAUCAGAAAGCCACGGCUAACUACGUGCCAGCAGCCGCGGUAAUACGUAGGUGGCAAGCGUUAUCCGGAAUUAUUGGGCGUAAAGCGCGCGUAGGCGGUUUUUUAAGUCUGAUGUGAAAGCCCACGGCUCAACCGUGGAGGGUCAUUGGAAACUGGAAAACUUGAGUGCAGAAGAGGAAAGUGGAAUUCCAUGUGUAGCGGUGAAAUGCGCAGAGAUAUGGAGGAACACCAGUGGCGAAGGCGACUUUCUGGUCUGUAACUGACGCUGAUGUGCGAAAGCGUGGGGAUCAAACAGGAUUAGAUACCCUGGUAGUCCACGCCGUAAACGAUGAGUGCUAAGUGUUAGGGGGUUUCCGCCCCUUAGUGCUGCAGCUAACGCAUUAAGCACUCCGCCUGGGGAGUACGACCGCAAGGUUGAAACUCAAAGGAAUUGACGGGGACCCGCACAAGCGGUGGAGCAUGUGGUUUAAUUCGAAGCAACGCGAAGAACCUUACCAAAUCUUGACAUCCUUUGACAACUCUAGAGAUAGAGCCUUCCCCUUCGGGGGACAAAGUGACAGGUGGUGCAUGGUUGUCGUCAGCUCGUGUCGUGAGAUGUUGGGUUAAGUCCCGCAACGAGCGCAACCCUUAAGCUUAGUUGCCAUCAUUAAGUUGGGCACUCUAAGUUGACUGCCGGUGACAAACCGGAGGAAGGUGGGGAUGACGUCAAAUCAUCAUGCCCCUUAUGAUUUGGGCUACACACGUGCUACAAUGGACAAUACAGAGGGCAGCGAAACCGCGAGGUCAAGCAAAUCCCAUAAAGUUGUUCUCAGUUCGGAUUGUAGUCUGCAACUCGACUACAUGAAGCUGGAAUCGCUAGUAAUCGUAGAUCAGCAUGCUACGGUGAAUACGUUCCCGGGUCU